This 428-nucleotide ribosomal RNA is filed under the name Bacteroidota bacterium. RNAcentral's name for it is "Bacteroidetes bacterium partial 16S ribosomal RNA". It matches the Rfam family "Bacterial small subunit ribosomal RNA", at positions 355 to 776 of the family's 1533-position model. The record is from RNAcentral. Lineage: Bacteria; Pseudomonadati; Bacteroidota.
UAGGGAAUCUUCCGCAAUGGGCGAAAGCCUGACGGAGCAACGCCGCGUGAGUGAUGAAGGUCUUCGGAUCGUAAAACUCUUUUAUUAGGGAAGAACAAAUGUGUAAGUAACUAUGCACGUCUUGACGGUACCUAAUCAGAAAGCCACGGCUAACUACGUGCCAGCAGCCGCGGUAAUACGUAGGUGGCAAGCGUUAUCCGGAAUUAUUGGGCGUAAAGCGCGCGUAGGCGGUUAGAGAAGUCUGAAGUUAAAGGCGGUGGCUCAACCAUUGGAGGCUUUGGAAACUGGUUAACUUGAGUGCGGAAGGGGAGAGUGGAAUUCCAUGUGUAGCGGUGAAAUGCGUAGAUAUAUGGAGGAACACCGGGGGCGAAAGCGGCUCUCUGGUCUGUAACUGACGCUGAGGGUCGAAAGCGUGGGGAGCGAAAAGG